CAGCAAUAUCACGUUGAGACGCCAGUGUCCAUACGAUCACCGAAGUUAAGCAACAUCGAGCCUGGUCAGUACCUAGAUGGGUGACCGCUAAGGAAUACCAACUGCUGUAAG
Non-coding RNA from Acanthosepion pharaonis, 111 nucleotides. The record is from the annotation of a GenBank genome assembly. Lineage: Eukaryota; Metazoa; Mollusca; Cephalopoda; Sepiida; Sepiidae.